RNAcentral lists this ribosomal RNA (497 nucleotides) under uncultured bacterium. RNAcentral's name for it is "partial 16S ribosomal RNA". It matches the Rfam family "Bacterial small subunit ribosomal RNA", at positions 28 to 507 of the family's 1533-position model. The record is from RNAcentral.
GAUGAACGCUGGCGGCGUGCCUAAUACAUGCAAGUCGAGCGAACGUACGAGAAGCUUGCUUCUCUGAUGUUAGCGGCGGACGGGUGAGUAACACGUGGAUAACCUACCUAUAAGACUUGGAUAACUUCGGGAAACCGGAGCUAAUACCGGAUAAUCUUUUGAACCGCAUGGUUCAAAAGUGAAAGACGGUCUUGCUGUCACUUAUAGAUGGAUCCGCGCUGCAUUAGCUAGUUGGUAAGGUAACGGCUUACCAAGGCAACGAUGCAUAGCCGACCUGAGAGGGUGAUAGGCCACACUGGAACUGAGACAAGGUACAGACUCCUACGGGAGGCAGCAGUAGGGAAUCUUCCGCAAUGGGCGAAAGCCUGACGGAGAAACGCCGCGUGAGUGAUGAAGGUAUUCGGAUCGUAAAACUCUGUUAUUAGGGAAGAACAUAUGUGUAAGUAACUGUGCACAUCUUGACGGUACCUAAUCAGAAAGCCACGGCUAACUACGUG